Long non-coding RNA from Psammomys obesus (fat sand rat), 1297 nucleotides. RefSeq lists it as uncharacterized. NCBI's taxonomy places the organism in Eukaryota, Metazoa, Chordata, Mammalia, Rodentia, Muridae. The transcript is spliced from 3 exons. The record is from RefSeq and is a predicted model, not a curated record.
GCCAAGACCACAGCACACAUUGCUGGUGUGACCAUGAGGAGAAUUCUUAUUGAAGACAGACUCCUCAUUCUUAAGUCCCAGUGAGGCCGGAGUCCCUGUUGUCACCACUUCUUUGUCCAAUAGCUCCAGGAAGCCUAUUUGAGGCAAAUCACUGCUGUAGGAAACCCCCAUUUCCCCCACCUAGUGCCCUUGUCCUCCCCGUGUGAGUGAGGACAUACCUGGGUCUCCUUGCAGACAAUCAGCUGCUGCCUCCUAGGGGGACACCUCUUUCUCAGGAUGAGGUAGUGGCAACAUCAAACAUCCAAAGCCAACGUAACCGCACAAAGGAAAUCCCCUUCUUCAUGUAUCCUGAUAGAGGGAAGGAGGCACAUUUACGCGCACCGCCCGGAACCCAUAGGCUUCUGUACAGUGGCUGUAUAGCGACUUGGUCCCCAACUGUAUACAGCGCAGGAAGAAUAAAGCUCAGUAGCGUGAGGAUGGCGCGUGUGGUUUUUGAGGUUCACGGUGCCAGUGUCCUUGCCACCUUGCCUCUGGGUGGAUGGGUCUCUUUCAGUUGACAGCUCCUGAGGGGCUUCUGUUGGGCUGGCAGUCAGCCUGGGGACUGGUUUACAGACUGAUUUUUCCCCUGACUUGGCUCAGAGCUGACCCUCAGGAAGUCUCUCUGUCACCAAGGGUGUGAUGAAGCCCAGAGUGCCACCUGGUGAGGCCGGGGCACUGUGGUGGUGGAUGGCAGCAGCCUGUGGUGUGGGGUUGUGGUAUCUGCCUACUGAGGUCUCAGGAGCCUGGUGUGUUGAAACUGGGAUGAGUUUUUUGUUGUUGUUUCGUUUUGUUUUUUUCUUAAAGGACUCGUUCUAAAGGUGUGGGGUGUGCCUAAGAAACUACCAAAAGGGAGCCAGGCUAAUCACAUGGCCGUAAUUCCAGCCUUCAGGAAACUGAGGGUGUAACCGUCCCAAGGGGAGGGACCCUACCACCCAGAACCAUGACGUGGUGGGCCCAGACCAUGGAUACAAAAGGUCAGGACUUACGGGCUUCUCGUCUGAACUGAGCAUGUCCAUGAGCCCUCUGCCCAGCUCAUUGAGCCUGCUGUUUCCAGUGUUUCCUGCUCCUGUUCAGGCUCACACGGCUCAAUCAGGAGGUCCGGGAAGUCGAUGAAGAAGCGCGAGCACAUGUAGCGCUGCAGGGCGCGGGCGUCCGUGCUGGGCCGCGGCCGGAAGCCCCGCACCAGGAGGUGGCAGUACUUGAGCAGGCCGCCGCCGCGGAUCUCCUCGGGGCUGCGCGUGGCGAUGACGCGGUGCUG